Salmonella enterica subsp. enterica serovar Typhimurium is the source of this 132-nucleotide regulatory RNA element. It matches the Rfam family "RtT RNA". From Rfam's summary of the family: This family represents a bacterial cis-regulatory element known as RtT RNA. The exact function of RtT is unknown although it is thought that it may be involved in changing the cellular response in relation to amino acid starvation. The record is from Rfam. Lineage: Bacteria; Pseudomonadati; Pseudomonadota; Gammaproteobacteria; Enterobacterales; Enterobacteriaceae.
AUAUCUCUCUGUACGGGAAGGAUGAGAAGCUUCGACUAAGGUUCGAUUCGAGCGUCAGCGAGAAAGCGUUGCCGCAGGCAACGACCCGAAGGGCGAAGCGCGCAGCGCUGAGUCAUCCUUCCCCCACCACCA